Cyprinus carpio (common carp) is the source of this 819-nucleotide long non-coding RNA. NCBI's taxonomy places the organism in Eukaryota, Metazoa, Chordata, Actinopteri, Cypriniformes, Cyprinidae. The record is from Ensembl.
UACAGAUUCGACUGACAGCAAGACAUAAGGUUUUAUUCCUCUCUUCGAUCAGCAAAGCGCAUAACAACGUAGGCUUCUGUCAUAUCUUAAUUGCAAUUUAAAUUCAUAAUAAUCUUUAAACACAAAUGGUCAAAAGUGUGUAUUUUAAAUGUCUGUGAUUGUUUUCGUGAUUUUUGGCCAUUUCAGAUGUACAAUUCGUGCGGUCUCCUUUUCCUUUCAUUUGGAUUUACCAUGCUGGAGUUCAUCACCUGUGACAGCGAUGGAUCUUUAUUGGCGGGUGAAUGUCAAAGAAUGGAUAUCAAUCAUGGUAAACCAGCACAAAACGGUGAAGCCCCCUUCAAGAUCGAACCAGAAUAUAAAGAAGUGACAGAUUCUGAACUGGGAAAGAACAUUAUUGUCUCGCUUAGGGCUUCGGCUCAAUUUAAAGGUUUCAUGUUGGACGCUCGUAAGUGUGAUGAGUGUGCGUCUGCUGGCAGGUUUCAUUUAAUCCAGACUGAACCGAACAACAGCAUACUCAUCUGUGAUGACCGUGUUGUGGCUCAAAGUAAUAACCAAAGAAAAACGAUAGUUAAUGUGUUGUGGAUCCCCGAAGAGACUGGAGUGUUUUUCUUCAGAGCUGCUUUCGUUGAAGAUUUCAGUAUUUUUUGGCUAAGGAAGCCGAUCAUACUCACGACGACUGCAUCACCCACCACUGAAUCCACCAGUCACAGUACACAAACAAGUCCAACAGGUAAGAAUAUAUAUGUUCCACAGUUUGUUACGCCAUUGUGGCCUAAAAGUUUAUGUGUAGUAAAUUCUGUGUUGAAUCAAAUCAAAUAA